CGCGGCCUAUCAGCUUGUUGGUGGGGUGAUGGCCUACCAAGGCGACGACGGGUAGCCGGCCUGAGAGGGUGACCGGCCACACUGGGACUGAGACACGGCCCAGACUCCUACGGGAGGCAGCAGUGGGGAAUAUUGCGCAAUGGGCGAAAGCCUGACGCAGCGACGCCGCGUGAGGGAUGACGGCCUUCGGGUUGUAAACCUCUUUCAGCAGGGACGAAGCGGAAGUGACGGUACCUGCAGAAGAAGCACCGGCCAACUACGUGCCAGCAGCCGCGGUAAUACGUAGGGUGCAAGCGUUGUCCGGAAUUAUUGGGCGUAAAGAGCUCGUAGGCGGUCUGUCGCGUCGGCUGUGAAAACCCGAGGCUCAACCUCGGGCCUGCAGUCGAUACGGGCAAACUUGAGUGUUGCAGGGGAGACUGGAAUUCCUGGUGUAGCGGUGAAAUGCGCAGAUAUCAGGAGGAACACCGGUGGCGAAGGCGGGUCUCUGGGCAACAACUGACGCUGAGGAGCGAAAGCGUGGGGAGCGAACAGGAUUAGAUACCCUGGUAGUCCACGCCGUAAACGUUGGGCGCUAGGUGUGGGGGCCAUUCCACGGUCUCCGUGCCGCAGCUAACGCAUUAAGCGCCCCGCCUGGGGAGUACGG
RNAcentral lists this ribosomal RNA (643 nucleotides) under uncultured Actinomycetes bacterium. RNAcentral's name for it is "bacterial SSU rRNA". It matches the Rfam family "Bacterial small subunit ribosomal RNA", at positions 232 to 885 of the family's 1533-position model. The record is from RNAcentral. Lineage: Bacteria; Bacillati; Actinomycetota; Actinomycetes.